This 342-nucleotide unclassified non-coding RNA is filed under the name soil metagenome. Its description in RNAcentral is "partial contains 5.8S ribosomal RNA, internal transcribed spacer 2, and large subunit ribosomal RNA". The stretch from base 1 to 120 matches the Rfam family "5.8S ribosomal RNA", at positions 35 to 154 of the family's 154-position model. The record is from RNAcentral.
GAUGAAGAACGUAGCAAAAUGCGAUAAGUAAUGUGAAUUGGAGAAUUCAGUGAAUCAUCGAAUCUUUGAACGCACAUUGCGCCCGCCAGUAUUCUGGCGGGCAUGCCUGUUCGAGCGUCAUUUCAACCCUUAAGCCCCCGGGUUUGGUGUUGGGGAUCGGGCUGUACUCCAGCCCGGCCCCGAAAUCUAGUGGCGGUCUCGCUGCAGCCUCCAUUGCGUAGUAGCUAACACCUCGCAACUGGAACGCGGCGCGGCCAAGCCGUUAAACCCCCAACUUCUGAAUGUUGACCUCGGAUCAGGUAGGAAUACCCGCUGAACUUAAGCAUAUCAAUAAGCGGAGGA